UUCCCCUGCACACUCUCUCUUGCCUGCCACCACGUAAGACAUGCCUUUGCUCUUCCUUUGCCUUCUGCCAUGAUUGUGAGGCCUCCCCAGCCAUGUGGAACUGAGUCCAUUCAACCUCUUUUUCUUUAUAAAUUACCCAGCCUUGGGUAUUUCUUCAUAGCAGUAUGAGAAUGGACUAAUAUCCCGUGGUUGUCAAUUCCAGAAGUGAAGCAUGUGUAUCCAUUCUUGUCGCGAGCAGAAGAGAGCGUGAUGUGAGUACUGGGGCACUGAGGCAAGCCCCAGAAGCAGAUGGCAGCCACAGCUGGCCUGGAGGGCCUGUCCCAGUGAGGGAGCUGCCCGAGCCACUCCUGCCCUGCUCCACCCACUGCACCUGCCUCCGGAGAGCCUCUUCCCACACUCCACACCAAUUCCACCUUGCCUAGGCAGCGCCAAAGCACCUUCUCUGAAAGCUGUUAAGUGAAGGCUGUGACUUCAGCCCCUUAGAUUCAGACUCAGUUGAUCUUCCUGUGCUGAGACCCUCUAGCAGAAUCACAACAGAGAGACACGUGACCUCUGGACACUAUGCUGAGCCCCGAGCAUGGAUUGCCUGGAACACUUCAUUACUUGAAACACAGAGCAAGAAGCAGAAGUUACAAAUCAGGUGUUCUCUUUAAGAAGCUGUAUGGAGAGUUUGUCCUUACACUUGAAUAGUUGCUUCAUUACCUCCCUUAUCUCAGAAGGACAUGCACAGUAAGGUUAUGAAGAACUGGCUUCCAAAUAAUAUUAAGAGCAAGUCACCUAGACUGGAACCAGCAGGUCCAUAUGGCAGACCAGGGACAGCGGGAAGAACACCUAAGUGGAACCCUGAAGCUACUUCCCACUCUGUGACUUUAGGGUCCAUAGAAUUAUGGACCUGGAUACUGGAUGGCAGAUGUGAAAUCCCUUCUUCUUAUUCAAUGCUUAUGCAAAUAUGUGCUAUUGUCAUUGCAAACAUGGUAUGUGCCCUGGAGGGGAACAAUGACUCCAUUAAAUUUUCUGGCCCUGGAAUUCCGUAAAGGAAGUAGUCCAUGGCCCUAGCCCAGGUUUUUCAGCCUCCACACUAUUGCCCAGUAGGCCCUGGAGAUGCCCUGUGUGGGGCCCUGUGCCCAGAGCGGCAUCCCUGGGCUCCACCCUGCAGGUGCCCUGGAUAUCAGCAGAAACUCCCACCAAGUCCUGACAAUAGAAAGUGUCUCCAGACAUGCCCAAGUGUCCCUCGGGGGCAAAACCACCAGUUUGGGAGACCCUGCCUAGGAAAGGUUUUUGUCUUGCUUUUUGUAGAGAGGCCACACAGUGAGAGGCUUCUCAGAAAGAAGGCGCAGUUCCCAGUGCUCAUUAACCUACAGAUUCAAUGACCAAUUCACUGCAGAGGGCAUCCAAAGGUUCUCGAACACAGAAGUUAGGAAAUGACCAUGAGAUAACAAACGGGGCUCUAUUUUGUAAAGGGGGUGCAGCCCGAUUUGGGAUUGCUAAUAAAAGACAAGUAAGUCUUUCAACUCGAUU
Molecule: long non-coding RNA, 1518 nt
Filed under: Homo sapiens (human)
Lineage: Eukaryota; Metazoa; Chordata; Mammalia; Primates; Hominidae
Description: HSALNT0025951
Source: RNAcentral